RNAcentral lists this long non-coding RNA (537 nucleotides) under Homo sapiens (human). RNAcentral describes it as "non-protein coding lnc-RAPGEF3-1:1". The record is from RNAcentral. Lineage: Eukaryota; Metazoa; Chordata; Mammalia; Primates; Hominidae.
UGUGGAGAUGGGACACUCGCUGAGCUCAGACUGAAGGAUCUUGGUGGUACCCUGCCCCACCGUGGCCAGAUCCUAGGGCUUCCGGUGCCAGCCAGGUGACCUGCUGUUGGUCUGGAGUAAGAUUCCUGUGAGUGACCCAGGCAGCAAUGGUAAAUACUGGGGCUGCAUGCAGCGCCUGGCCUCCUGUCCAGACUCCUGGGUGCCUAGAGUGCCAGGGGCUGACAAAGAAGAAGUGGAGGCAGUGACCGCACUGGCGUCCCUCUCUGUGGGCAUCCUGGCUGAAGAUAGGCCCUCGGAGCAGCUGGUGGAGGAGGAAGAACCUAUGAAUCUCUAAGGCUCUGGAACCAUCUGCCCGCCCACCAUGCCCUUGGGACCUGGUUCUCUUCUAACCCCUGGCAAUAGCCCCCAUUCCUGGGUCUUUAGAGAUCCUGUGGGCAAGUAGUUGGAACCAGAGAACAGCCUGCCUGCUUUGACAGUUAUCCCAGGGAGCGUGAGAAAAUCCCUGGGUCUAGAAUGGGAACUGGAGAGGACCCUGAG